UUUAAUUCGACGCAACGCGAAGAACCUUACCAGGGCUUGACAUCCCCUGACCGCGUAUGAAAGUACGUUUUCACCCUCGGGUGACAGGGAGACAGGUGGUGCAUGGUUGUCGUCAGCUCGUGUCGUGAGAUGUUGGGUUAAGUCCCGCAACGAGCGCAACCCCUACGUUUAGUUGCUAACAGGUGAAGCUGAGCACUCUAGACGAACUGCCGUUGACAAAACGGAGGAAGGUGGGAUGACGUCAAAUCAUCAUGCCCCUUAUGUUCUGGGCUACACACGUGCUACAAUGGCCGGUACAGACGGAGGCGAAGCCGCGAGGCGGAGCAAAUCCGAAAAAGCCGGUCUCAGUUCGGAUUGCAGGCUGCAAUUCGCCUGCAUGAAGUCGGAAUCGCUAGUAAUCGCAGGUCAGCAUACUGCGGUCGAAUACGUUCCCGGGCCUU
RNAcentral lists this ribosomal RNA (440 nucleotides) under uncultured Pelotomaculum sp. RNAcentral describes it as "bacterial SSU rRNA". It matches the Rfam family "Bacterial small subunit ribosomal RNA", at positions 945 to 1382 of the family's 1533-position model. Lineage: Bacteria; Bacillati; Bacillota; Clostridia; Eubacteriales; Desulfotomaculaceae. The record is from RNAcentral.